This 406-nucleotide ribosomal RNA is filed under the name uncultured bacterium. RNAcentral's name for it is "partial 16S ribosomal RNA". It matches the Rfam family "Bacterial small subunit ribosomal RNA", at positions 30 to 526 of the family's 1533-position model. The record is from RNAcentral.
AUUGAACGCUGGCGGCAGGCCUAACACAUGCAAGUCGAACGAGUGGCGGACGGGUGAGUAAUGUCUGGGAAACUGCCCGAUGGAGGGGGAUAACUACUGGCAACGGUAUCUACUAACACAUACCAUCGGAUGUCACCAGAUGGGAUUAGCUCGUAGGUGGGGUAACGGCUCACCUAGGCUACGAUCCCUAGCUGGUCUGAGAGGAUGACCAGCCACACUGGAAAUGAGACACGGUCCAGACUCCUCUGGGAGGCAGCAGUGGGGAAUAUUGCACAAUGGGCGCAAGCCGGAUGCAGCCAUGCCGCGUGUAUGAAGAAGGCCUUCGGGUUGUAAAGUACUUUCAGCGAGGAGGCGUUACUCGCAGAAGAAGCACCGGCUAAAUCCGUGCCAGCAGCCGCGGUAAUUC